AAACUUUGCAAACAAUCGGAUGCCUGUGCAAAUUGCAUAGAUAAACAGGAAGAGUCUUAAUUAAGAAGAAAUGUGAUGGUGUAAAUUUGUAUUGGAUACAGAGUGGUGCAAAUUAUAGUAAAGUGUUUCACAUUCAAAUACCUGUCCGAACAACCAGAUGGCGUUAAUGAUUGCUUGCCGCCAUAACAAAGUGCGAACAGCAUGGCCUAAAGUGAAAGACCCGCAAAAGAAUUUGCAUUGGCAGGACAACAAAAACAAUAAAUAAAAUAUUGCGUGAAUUUUAACACAUUCGCAAUGAAAUUGAAAGUGCGAUAACUUGUAAACAAAAAAUCUGUAAAAAAACAUUUGUAAAAAAAUGCAAAAAAAAUUAACAAAGCCAAAAAAAAAUCAAAUAAAAUUUAGAUAUUUUUAACACAGUUAAAUGCAUAAAAUUUUUUAUCUGGCACAUUGUUCUUUGUACAGCUCAACAAUAUUUAUGAUUUCGUUAUUCUCGCAUAGCUCAAGUGGAAUUUUCAUUAUCGUGU
Long non-coding RNA from Zeugodacus cucurbitae (melon fly), 524 nucleotides. RefSeq lists it as uncharacterized. The transcript has 3 exons. The record is from RefSeq and is a predicted model, not a curated record. NCBI's taxonomy places the organism in Eukaryota, Metazoa, Arthropoda, Insecta, Diptera, Tephritidae.